GAUUAUUAAAUAUAAAUUUGAUACCACAGGACAAUCGAACCUCAUUAGACGCAUUGGUAUAACUGGUAUACCCCAAACACCCAAUGAAAACUGUUUGGAAAUCGUGAAAGAAAUCGGUUUUAAAAUCAACUCAAUACACAACGUAAAUGUAAUAGAAGCAAACGGACAAAAUUUUAGCCACACUCAUAGCAAAAAAUCAUAGCAAAACUUGAAACAAUCGAAAUGAAAAAAUCUAAUCCACAACAGUAAAACAUCUAAACUAUCAGCAAACAACUUACUUAGCACCUGGUCCGAAAAAAGCAAAAGUAUUUAUUAAUAAACGAUUAACAUAAGAAAGAUGAUCUUUAAAUGGGAAACCAAGAGCAUAUGGCAAGGAAAAGAAUUUCAAAUUCGUACGGGUGAACCCAAUACUUCAUCCAAUAGAAUAUUUUUUUUUUAAUAAGCGUUUCGAAAUCAAAUUUAAAUGAAUAUCGCAAAAAAAAAUUACGGCACUUCUAAUUAUGUAUUACCGAACUGCGCUUAGAAUCGUCUUUCGUCAGCAAUGGUUUAUCGUUAAUUGCAGAUAUAAAUGAAAUAACAUUAUGCACCCUAAUUUUCCAUUUCCCACCUACAACAGUGGCUGCACCCGUUC
This is a non-coding RNA of Cinara cedri, 631 nucleotides long. The record is from the annotation of a GenBank genome assembly. Lineage: Eukaryota; Metazoa; Arthropoda; Insecta; Hemiptera; Aphididae.